This 372-nucleotide non-coding RNA is filed under the name Shouchella lehensis G1. RNAcentral's name for it is "Bacillus lehensis G1 cspA thermoregulator". It matches the Rfam family "cspA thermoregulator", at positions 163 to 428 of the family's 428-position model. Lineage: Bacteria; Bacillati; Bacillota; Bacilli; Caryophanales; Bacillaceae. The record is from Rfam by way of RNAcentral.
AUCUGGUAAGAUUAAGAUUGCUUAUUUUUGUUCGUGUAAUAGCUUAAGUCUUUCGUCUUGAGUUUCGCUUUGAGCAAGGAUAGGAAUACAAUUGUGCGAAUAACGCACUAGGAGGCAACAACAAUGGAAACAGGUACAGUUAAGUGGUUCAACGCAGAAAAAGGAUUCGGCUUCAUCGAGCGCGAAGGUAACGACGAUGUAUUCGUUCACUUCUCAGCGAUCACUGGCGAAGGCUUCAAGACGUUAGAAGAAGGUCAAAGAGUUUCUUUCGAAAUCGAAGAUGGCGCACGUGGCCCUCAAGCUGCUAACGUAGUUAAAGAAGGUUAAUCUUCUUUCUAUAAAAACAGACUCGGACAUCCGAGUCUGUUUUUU